CUGAAAUCAUGCUGAAGGUAAUGUUUGUGCUUGGAUGUCUCCUGAGCCUGGCUCUGGCCAAGCCGGCUGAUGAAAAACACCAUCGACUUGCACGCUCAGAUUCUAGCUCUGAAGAGGCUUCUUCCAACAAUGGCUUGACCACAAGUAACUUGUUAGAGUUAAUCAGACUCCUGCUUCAAAUACAAACUACGACAACUGCAGCUACCACUACAACGACUACAGCUGCCACUACAAAAUAAAACCUGACAUGUAACCAGCGCUCAAUAAGUGAAUGAAAACUGUUGUCACAUCAUCACAUCAUUCUAAAUGAAUGUGAUGAUCAGCAUCACUUUAUUCUCUGUUUUAUCUGAUAAAUAAAC
This is a long non-coding RNA of Solea senegalensis (Senegalese sole), 359 nucleotides long. RefSeq lists it as uncharacterized. The record is from RefSeq and is a predicted model, not a curated record. NCBI's taxonomy places the organism in Eukaryota, Metazoa, Chordata, Actinopteri, Pleuronectiformes, Soleidae. The transcript has 3 exons.